This 468-nucleotide ribosomal RNA is filed under the name uncultured bacterium. RNAcentral describes it as "partial 16S ribosomal RNA". It matches the Rfam family "Bacterial small subunit ribosomal RNA", at positions 28 to 507 of the family's 1533-position model. The record is from RNAcentral.
GACGAACGCUGGCGGCGUGCUUAACACAUGCAAGUCGAACGGAAAGGCCCUGCUUUUGUGGGGUGCUCGAGUGGCGAACGGGUGAGUAACACGUGAGUAACCUGCCCUUGACUUUGGGAUAACUUCAGGAAACUGGGGCUAAUACCGGAUAGGAGCUCCUGCUGCAGGGUGGGGGUUGGAAAGUUUCGGCGGUUGGGGCUGGACGCGCGGCUUAUCAGCUUGUUGGUGGGGUAGUGGUUUACCAAGGCUUUGACGGGUAGCCGGCCUGAGAGGGUGACCGGCCACAUUGGGCCUGCGAUACGGCCCAGACUCCUACGGGAGGCAGCAGUGGGGAAUAUUGCACAAUGGGCGGACGCCUGAUGCAGCAACGCCGCGUGCGGGAUGACGGCCUUCGGGUUGUAAACCGCUUUCGCCUGUGACGAAGCGUGAGUGACGGUACUGGGUAAAUAAGCACCGGCUAACUACGUG